GUAAAUUAUUCGGUCAUUUUAUACUUUGUUUUGAAUGAGUGACAAAAAAGAGACUUUGUAUAGGUAUUGACCCUUUGCCUUACUCUUAAUAAGAGCAAAGAGGGGUAUUUUAAGGAGCCCUGGCUGCGAGAAAUACCUCAAUGGUCAAGACUGAAAAUAAUGGAUUUUUGGCCAAAUGGAUUGGACCCCCACUGGGUUUCGAAUUUGAGGCAUGAUGCAUAAGAGUUUGUUACAUGAUUGAAAUGCAUGAAACCUUGUGUUCAUGUUUUACAUGGUUGGACUUGUUGAUUUGACAUUUAAUGUCUCCAUAAUGUUUGAUAUUGUUUAAUUAUAGAAAU
RNAcentral lists this long non-coding RNA (338 nucleotides) under Carica papaya (papaya). Its description in RNAcentral is "long non-coding RNA (CPAP_LNC007933)". Lineage: Eukaryota; Viridiplantae; Streptophyta; Magnoliopsida; Brassicales; Caricaceae. The record is from RNAcentral.